Podarcis lilfordi (Lilford's wall lizard) is the source of this 81-nucleotide non-coding RNA. Lineage: Eukaryota; Metazoa; Chordata; Lepidosauria; Squamata; Lacertidae. The record is from the annotation of a GenBank genome assembly.
GAGGAAGGGUCAUAGCUCAGUGGUAGAGCAUCUGAUCUGCAGAUUUGCAGAAAGUCCUAGGAUUAAGCCCCAGUUUCUUCA